AACGAACGCUGGCGGCAUGCCUAAUACAUGCAAGUCGAACGAGACCUUCGGGUACUGGUGCCCACGGGUUGGGAAACCGGGGGGACCUUCCCUUAGGGUGGGAAUAACUUCCCGCAAGGGGGGCCAAUACCGGAUAAAUUCUUCUGACCAAAGAUUUAUCGCCAUUGGAUGGGCCCGCGUUGGAUUAGCUAGUUGGUAGGGUAAAAGCCUACCAAGGCGACGAUCCAUAGCUGGUCUGAGAGGAUGAUCAGCCACACUGGGACUGAGACACGGCCCAGACUCCUACGGGAGGCAGCAGUGGGGAAUAUUGGACAAUGGGCGAAAGCCUGAUCCAGCAAUGCCGCGUGAGUGAUGAAGGCCUUAGGGUUGUAAAGCUCUUUUACCCGGGAUGAUAAUGACAGUACCGGGAGAAUAAGCUCCGGCUAACUCCGUG
Molecule: ribosomal RNA, 433 nt
Filed under: uncultured bacterium
Lineage: Bacteria
Description: partial 16S ribosomal RNA
Rfam family: Bacterial small subunit ribosomal RNA
Source: RNAcentral